Molecule: ribosomal RNA, 468 nt
Filed under: uncultured bacterium
Lineage: Bacteria
Description: partial 16S ribosomal RNA
Rfam family: Bacterial small subunit ribosomal RNA
Source: RNAcentral
GACGAACGCUGGCGGCGUGCUUAACACAUGCAAGUCGAACGGAAAGGCCCUGCUUUUGUGGGGUGCUCGAGUGGCGAACGGGUGAGUAACACGUGAGUAACCUGCCCUUGACUUUGGGAUAACUUCAGGAAACUGGGGCUAAUACCGGAUAGGAGCUACUGCUGCAUGGUGGGGGUUGGAAAGUUUCGGCGGUGGGGGAUGGACUCGAGGGUUAUCAGCCUGUUGGUGGGGUAGUGGCUUCCCAAGGCUUCGACGGGUAGCCGGCCUGAGAGGGUGACCGGCCUCAUUGGGACUGAGAUACGGCCCAGUCUCCUACGGGCGGCAGCAGUGGGGAAUAUUGCGCAAUGGGCGGAAGCCUGAUGCAGCAACGCCGCGUGCGGGAUGCCGGCCUUCGGGUUGUAAACCGCUUUCGCCUGUGACGAAGCGUGAGUGACGGUAAUGGGUAAAGAAGCACCGGCUAACUACGUG